Molecule: long non-coding RNA, 4696 nt
Organism: Cavia porcellus (domestic guinea pig)
Lineage: Eukaryota; Metazoa; Chordata; Mammalia; Rodentia; Caviidae
Exons: 3
Source: RefSeq, a predicted model, not a curated record
UGAUGGGGAUAAUUUUUUAAAGUCUCUUGUUGGCGUUUCUGUUGGCAAAUGAUUUAUUAGACCAAGUGAGGUAAAAUGUCAAGGAAUAGAUUUUCUUUUCAUGAAAUAUCAGAAUCCAUCAGAGCUGAUAAUGCUGAGUCUAAUUGUGACAGCUCUCCUGUUGGAACAGCCUCACCUGGUGCUGCAAGUGGGGGCAGGAUAAUCACGCACUCAUAGCCAGAAGAGCUACUGAGGAUGCUUAAACUCAGCUUGAGGUUAAUGACGGCAUCAAGGGAGGAAAAAGGGACUGCACUGGAGAAGCGCACUGAACAUCUCCACACUGUGCACAUACUUUUAGGACAAAAUCCCCUACUUUGUAUGCAGCACCUGUGAAGAAGCAGGCACAAUCAGCAGUCAGAGCUGAAGGCUUAGCUGCACCCCUCUUCAGAACGAACAGAACAAUCACUGCAGUCAGAAAGUCAGUGAAGAAGAAGCUUUGAAUGGUGGUGUAAGUGAACCAGUCGUAGCAGACAGUGGGCGCACUCUCCAGCUGGCACCAUGCUCCUCAUAGGAACCAUACUCUCCGUGGGACCAUUCCCAGAGCCUCCCAACUGCCUAGGUGGAAUCUGAAGCCAGCUGGCAGGGACUUUGGGUCCUGAAUUGUCCUAUGCAGCGCUGAGCGUGAGCAGAAGGACUGGCCUGCCUUUGAAGAUGAUCUUUCUAUAAAGCCAUCAGUGCUGCUGCCAUCAGUGAACUAUGUAAACUUAAACAAGAACCAGACAGCGCAACCUCUGUAGUGUUCCCAGCACAGAACCAAAAGUAAACAUAUUCACUUUGUAUUUAUUGUAAAACUGCUGACUUGAGCUAAAAAAACAGCUGCUGGCCUUGUUUCUGAAACCCCCACACCGUCCCCUCAUCACCGCGCCCACGCUUUACGGAGCUGCAUCUCCCUUGGCUGACAUUUUCUGCCAAUAGGAAGUGAGAAAUUUGAACGCGAAGAGCGGAACCCAGCAGCGUGGCUGACAUCAACUGACCUAUAUACAUCGUUUCUUUGUAAAUACCACCCACCUUUAUCUAGAGGAGGGGGUAGGAGACGGUGAAACGUUGUCUGGAUCAUUUUUCUUUCCUUUGGACAGGCCAGCUGUGUUAGUAAGUGCGAAUUUUCUGCUGGACAGAACAGCAAUAACAACCACUGAGAGCUUAGAGACCUUCUUCUCCGCAGGUCCCGCAACUUAUACCAUGGUUCUGCUGUCCGUAGUUCUGCUUCCCACGGCUUCGGUUACGCAGGGUCAGCUCUGUAGUUCCAGAAUAGAGCACUUUGGAAGUGGCCUGUUCCUUGGUUUGCAUUCUGUGCUUUCCUGACCCCGGGGCUGGAGUGCCGCGCCAUCCCACUCCUUUCCCUGAGCCAGGAAUCAUCCUUCUGCCUGUGCACCUGUGGUGUACCUGCUGGCCACCAGUGAGCCACUUAGCAGCCACCUCAGUACUAGACUGACCACCAGGGCAACAUGGUGCUUGUGAUCAGGCGACCUCACUGUAUUUUACUUAAUAAUCACCCCAAAGCACCACAGUACUGACUGAUGCUGGCUUUCAGAUGGGCCAAAGAAAGCCUUUUAAAAAGUGAAGAUAAGAAAAUUCUUGACUUAACAGGGGAAGAAAAAGAUCAUAGCUUGGGUUGGACGGCAGGAAUGAAUCUUCUGUCCAUGAAGCGGUGGAGGAGGAGAACUCCAGCAAUGCUGUGUUUUGUUGUUUGUGUUGCACCUCAAGACACAAAAGUAGUGACCAGAGUGCAUGAGUAUUUACUAAGGACAGAAACACAGAUACACGUGAAUCCUGGCAUUGUGUAUGUUUUCACUCAUCCACUCAAUGUACCCCCAGUGUAGGAGGGAGAAUGAUUACGUAUGCAUGAAAGCUUAUUUACAUACGCAGAGGCUAGAUGACUUUCUCAAGUGUGCGAGUCCAGGCUUGUAGGUCAAAGGGCGCCUGUUUCCUGAUCUCUAACAGCGCUCUUCAUGCCCUCUCCCUUGGUCUUAGAACCAGACACUCACUGCUGGGCUAGUGAAGGUUGGGGAGUUUCGUUUCAGGAGGACCCCUCAGAAUAAAGCUCAUUCGUAUCACCCCAGGGGUUACAGGACAGCUGUUUAAUGAGCAUUGCUCUCUGUCUAAAUACUUCCUCCCCUGUGUGAUUGUAGUCAGGAACUCCAGACAUAAAGUCCUGUGCAAAUUCACAAAUUCUCCAGACUUCUCACUUUAGUAACAACAGCUCCAAAAUAGUCUCAGAGGCUUGUUCCUCACCCACUUCUGGAAUUGUCUCUCAUGCCUAUGCUGCUACAAAAGAGCUCCAAGCCCAGGAAGCUGCAUCCCCAAGCCAGUCCAGAGUCACCUUUUGUUCACUCUUUCUAAAUAAGCGAGCAACUCACAGCCUCAAAAUUUCACCAAGUCCUCCAUGCUGCCAGGAGACUGACAGGAACCUUGAGCACAGUCACUUUCUGCUUUGUCCUCUUGUCCCUACAGAGAGGGUGGCUCUGCCAGCUGGAUUGGAAACCAGUGUGUGUAGCCCAAGAAGAGACCCCGCCAUGUGAAGCAAUCACAUGUCUGCGGUAGAGAGCCUCUUGGUUACUUUUCUCUCAUUGCUGAGUCAAAAUACCCAACACUCAAAAUUAAAGAAGGAAAGAUUUAUUUGGCUCACAGUUGUGGAGCUUUCAGUAUAUAAUCAACUGACUGCAAGGCAGGGUGGCACAGUACAGGGGCAGCACUUCAAGGCAGCAGAAGACAGCAAAGAGCAGAAGGCAGGAGGCAGUCUGUAUUCCUCCCUUCUAUUGUAAUCAGUUACGCAGCCACAUCCUCUCCAUGCCCUCCUCCUACACAGGCUCUGGAUGUUUGCAAAAUGAGGACCCUGACUUCCUGCUAAGCCUCCUAGUUAAGCUUCUAAACUUCUCUGUCCUCAGGUUGACACAAAGAAUCAACCAUUACACUGAAAGAGACAUUUUGGGGAAAACAAUACUAAAAACACUUUGGUUUUAUACAAUCUCCAUCUCACCCACUUUGCAUCAGUCUAGACCUAAAUAAUGAAGUCAGGCACUUGGCAAUCAUGAACAACCAACAUUUACAGUGCACUCUGUUGCACAGCUCUGAAGUUUGGUGAGUUAGGUAGCCUCAGUGCAUUUUCAGCUCAGGGUAUGUCCAGUUUAUGAUGGAUUUAUCAGGACACAAGCUGGAUAGUAAAUCCAGCAGCAUCUAUAUUUCCAGGGAAAUUCUUUCCUCAUAGUCCAUGUCGUGAAAGGAAACAGUAACACAGAGAAGAGAAAUAGCCAGCCUGAACGUAACCCCCUCUCCUUAUUCAUGGGAGAGUAUCAUAAUCACCUGUAGACCUCGACUGUCUGUGUGUUUGUCCACAGAUGCCUCAGCAGAGCUCCAUGGGACCAAGUAGAGGUGUUGUGCAAGACCACCUGGCACUGCCACCUUGGCAAAAAUGAAUGAAAGUCCACAUGCAAUUGGGAGCAGAUGGCCUUGCAUUUGUAUCCAGAGUCAACUUAUUACUGUAUCACCUAGAGAGAAACACGACAUCUCUAAGCCCUGAUUUUUUCUUUGUGACGUUGGAAUGAUAUGUCAGAGAGCUGACAUGAAGGUUACAUAAUGAUGUGUUAGGGAAAUUAAUCUGAGGAUGAUUCAUAAAAUGAUGCGAUGGAAGUUAUUCUCCUUGCAAUUUAAGCUCCAUGAAAUCUGGAAUAGAAUUUGUCUAUUUGUUUCUUUUUACUACUGCUGUAUUAAGAUAUAGACAUAAACUAGGUACAAAUGCACUUUUCUUUAAGUGAAAGUCUGGACUGUAAGCCUGACUGCCAUCCAAGCCAUAAAGGACCCAUACCCUUACCAUUUUGUUGCUUAGCCAUUUUUAGGGAGUUUUCAGGACUGGUCCACAAUGAGACUUUGCAUGUCACUUAUCUGCCACCUGGAAAGGGAACCAAGCAAGGACCUGACAUGCUCCUUGAAAUGCAUGUUCCAGAUCACUGAUGCAUUAUUCUGCUGCCACAACCCAGUCAUUCAACCUUACUUAGCUGCAAGAGAUCCUGGAAUAUGUGGUCUGCAUCUGAGUCAUUUGUUCAAUAAUAAAUGUUCUAUUUCAAAAUAAACACAAAGCAAAAAGGAGAAAAUAUGCUGGGGACAACCAGACAUCUCUGCCAUAAAUAUAAUGAUAAGCACAGUAAUAUUGGCCCAGAAAAAUGCAACUAAUACAUUAUUAUUAUAUUACUAUUUUUCUUAAAAAAUCAAUAUUUAAGACUCUCAGAAAUUCUAUCUCAAGCAAAGUUUUGGAAUUGUUUCACCUCAUCCAUCUCAGAUUACCCAAGGCUAAGGACGUAAAAUGGAUACAGGCAUCAAGCAUCUUAGCACAUACCAUUCAGUGUCCUUUAGCACCUUCGCAGUAUUAUAAAACCGUAACCUGCAUCUGGCUUCAGAGUAUUUUCAUAGCUCCAAGGAGGCUGUGCCCUGAUUCAGAAGGUGACUUCUAGUAUGGGCUCUCCUUAGCCCCAGCGAUCACCACUAGUCUGUUUUCUGUGUCUGUGGAUGUACCUAUUCUGAAUGUGUCAAUUAAAUGAAGUCUUAUAGUGUAUGAUAUUUUGAAUCUGGCUUAUCUGGUGUAGCAUUUCAAUAUAUUAAUUUUUAAACUCAGCAACCAACCAGCUCAAUUUAAAAAUAAAAAUGUACAAAUGACUCAAAUAGA